AUAUUGAACAAUGGGGGCAACCCUGACCCAGCCAUGCCGCGUGUGUGAAGAAGGUCUUCGGUUUGUAAAGCACGUUAAGUUGGGAGGAAGGGCUUUAGGUUAAUACCCUUAAGUUUUGACGUUACCAACGGAAUAAGCACCGGCUAGCUCUGUGCCAGCAGCCGCGGUAAUACAGAGGGUGCAAGCGUAAAUCGGAAUUACUGUGCGUAAAGAGCGCGUAGGUGGUUCAGUAAGAUGGGUGUGAAAUCCCCGGGCUUAACCUGGGAACUGCUUUCAUAACUGCUGAGCUAGAGUACGGUAGAGGGUAGUGGAAAUUCCUGUGUAGCGGUGAAAUGCGUAGAUAUAGGAAGGAACACCAGUGGCGAAGGCGACUACCUGGACUGAUACUGACACUGAGGUGCGAAAGCGUGGGGAGCAAAC
This 420-nucleotide ribosomal RNA is filed under the name uncultured bacterium. Its description in RNAcentral is "partial 16S ribosomal RNA". It matches the Rfam family "Bacterial small subunit ribosomal RNA", at positions 361 to 773 of the family's 1533-position model. The record is from RNAcentral.